RNAcentral lists this ribosomal RNA (253 nucleotides) under uncultured bacterium. Its description in RNAcentral is "partial 16S ribosomal RNA". It matches the Rfam family "Bacterial small subunit ribosomal RNA", at positions 524 to 776 of the family's 1533-position model. The record is from RNAcentral.
UACGUAGGUGGCAAGCGUUGUCCGGAUUUACUGGGCGUAAAGAGCGCGCAGGCGGUCGUACAAGUCGCGUGUGAAAGCCCCCGGCUCAACUGGGGAGGGUCACGCGAUACUGUUCGACUCGAAGGCAGGAGAGGGAAGCAGAAUUCCCGGUGUAGUGGUGAAAUGCGUAGAUAUCGGGAGGAACACCAAUGGCGAAGGCAGCUCGCUGGGACGUUACUGACGCUGAGACGCGAAAGCGUGGGGAGCAAACAGG